UGCCACUCAGCACGCGCACAGCUGCCUGCUCCAGCAGGUCCUGCAGGUACACGAAGCCGCCCCACACAUACCGAAGGUCCAUGAGGGGAUCUGCUGACGGACCUGGGUCCCAAAACCUGAGAGAUGCCAGAUUCACCGGUGGCCAGGACCCGUGGUGGUUGGAGAUGGCGGUUCAGAUGAGUCCAGAGGGUGCUCUGGGCUCAGGAAGACGAUGCCUGCCCAGAGGCGGCGCUCACCCAGCAGCUCCAGGGCACGGGACACAAGAGCUUCCUCUGAGGGCACAGCCUCCAGCUUGUCCAGGGACACACACUGUAGCAGCGGAACAUGCAUCCCAGGUUCUGGGGUGUGACUGAACCCCCAAGCCCAUGACUCCUUCCCCUGGGUUCCUUGUUCCCGUAGGAGACCAUAUACAUGGCCAGGAGGCCCCCUCUUGAGAUGUCUCUUUGCUCUGUCCUCCAGAGCCAGAGAAAGACUCUCUCUGCCUUCUAUGAUGACGACCCCUUACCUCCAAGAUUUGGCCCAGUAUUUCUGCCAGGCGCCCCAUGUCUGCAUGAGCCUCCUGCCAGUUGUAUCGACCCCUACUAGGAUCCAGAAAGUCUCUGAUAGCCUCCAACUGCUUCUGGCCUUUGGGUGUCUGCUGCUGCCACCCUGUGCCCUCCACAUCCAGCAGUUUCUGGGGAAGGAGGAAAGUGACCGUGAGGGUGGUCUCCGCUCCCCACCCUUGCUGCUCUGCAUACCACCCAGAAGAGGCCCACCUCCAUCUCGGCCCACCUGAAGCAUGGCCACGUUUGUACUGUCAUUCAUGAAGUUGAAGAUCUGGGGUCCCAGUACUCCCCAGAGUUCGUGUAGGUCCCUCAGCAGAGCCAGCUCCUCAAAGGUCUGGUUCACCUGCAAGCGGGCAGCCAAGAUCAGCCAGGCUCCUGUCCACAUAUCUGCCCUGCCCUGGCUGUGCCAGGUCGCUGCACCUCUUCACCAUCAUAGAGCCUCAUGGCGUAGCCGUGGCUAACCUGGAACUCAGAUCUGCCUGCCUCUGCCCCCAAAUGCCGGUACAGAAUGCCAACACACCCAGCCCUAGUAUUAUUUUGAGACAGCGUCCCACCCUAUAACUUAGGUUGGAAUUCCACAUGCUCCUGCCUCAACUUCCUUCUGAGUGCUGGAACUAUAAGUCUGUGCAGUCAGGCUCUAAAGAAAGAGCCAUCCCGGGCUGGAGAGAUGGCUCAGUGGUUAAGAGUACUGACUGCUCUUCCAGAGGUCCUGAGUUCAAACCCCAGCAACCAUGUGGUGGCUCACAACCAUCUAUAAUGAGAUCUGAUGCCCUCUUCUGGUGUGUCCGAAGACAGCUACAGUGUACUCGUAUAUAAUAAAUAGAUAAAUCUUAAAAAAAAAUAGAAAAAAAGAAA
Non-coding RNA from Rattus norvegicus (Norway rat), 1400 nucleotides. Lineage: Eukaryota; Metazoa; Chordata; Mammalia; Rodentia; Muridae. The record is from RefSeq and is a predicted model, not a curated record.